Molecule: ribosomal RNA, 468 nt
Filed under: uncultured bacterium
Lineage: Bacteria
Description: partial 16S ribosomal RNA
Rfam family: Bacterial small subunit ribosomal RNA
Source: RNAcentral
GACGAACGCUGGCGGCGUGCUUAACACAUGCAAGUCGAACGGACAGGCCCUGCUUUUGUGGGGUGCUCGAUUGGCGAACGGGUGAGUAACACGUGUGUAACCUGCCCUUGAAUUUGGGAUAUCUUCAGGAAACUGGGGCUAAUACCCGAUAGGAGCUCCUGCUGCGUGGUGGGGGUUGGAAAGAUUCGGCGGUUGGGGCUGGACUCGCGGCUUAUCCGCUUGUUGGUGGGGUAGUGGCUUACCAAGGCUUUGACGGGUAGCCGGCCUGAGAGGGUGACCGGCCACAUGGGGACUGAGAUACGGCCCAGACUCCUACGGGAGGCAGCAGUGGGGAAUAUUGCACAAUGGGCGGAAGCCUGAUGCAGCAACGCCGCGUGCGGGAUGACGGCCUUCGGGUUGUAAACCGCUUUCGCCUGUGACGAAGCGUGAGUGACGGUAAUGGGUAAAGAAGCACCGGCUAACUACGUG